Molecule: long non-coding RNA, 828 nt
Organism: Sarcophilus harrisii (Tasmanian devil)
Lineage: Eukaryota; Metazoa; Chordata; Mammalia; Dasyuromorphia; Dasyuridae
Exons: 2
Source: RefSeq, a predicted model, not a curated record
CUCCCCCGUGGAGCGAAGUUGCUGCCCGGUUCCGUCAGCGGGAGCCGCGGCACAAGGGCGGACACCAGCGGAAGCCCAGCGGCCGCUCGGCCGCCACCCGGGCUUAUCGCGCUACAAACGGGAGCCGUCCUCUUCUCGGGACCAGCGAGGCACAAUAAGCGCGCUGUUUCAUGACGGGGAUCCGGGGCUGGAGACGGGAGCAAGGAACUCUGCUGCAGACAGCCUCUUCGGGGCGGGGGCGGGGGUUUCGGAGCACAGACGUGAGAUGUCCGCGAGCCCAGAGGCAGGGACCGGGGCCGCCCGGGACCGGGGCCGCCCGGGACCGGGGCCGCCGCGUCCUCUACUAGUUGUGCUUUCCAGAAGUUAGGGACGCCCGUCCUAGCAGGGAUCAUCUUCCGUAUUUCUUGGAAUCCUACCCGUAAAACUUUAGGGACCAGACAAGUUAAUGUCUCACAAAACGGGGGAUCCGGACCCAGAUUCUCCAGCUUCCAAUCUUGUCCUCUUUCCGUUGCACCACACUGAAUGGAAGUGUGAGGUUAAGCACUGGCAGAAAAGUGUUUCUUUAAGAUCUUCAACCACAGCAUGGAAAAAUGACCCUGUUCUUUAAAAGAUGCUAACAGAGUACCAAGUUCUUCCAAAAUGGAUUGUGAAUAUGGGCCAGCCAGGCCAAAAAAGGACUUGGCAUCAGUUCAAGAAGGCUUACUAACAGAAGGCUGGCCACUAGGUGACCUUUUUUUUUUUUUUUUUAACCACUGAAACUAAAGACUAUUCUUUGCAUCAACAGAAGCUGCCAUACUCAUGAAAUAAUACAUUUUUAAGUAAUGCAGU